GAUGAACGCUGGCGGCGUGCUUAACACAUGCAAGUCGAACGGGAAUUACUUUAUUGAAACUUCGGUCGAUUUAAUUUAAUUCUAGUGGCGGACGGGUGAGUAACGCGUGGGUAACCUGCCUUGUACAGGGGGAUAACAGUCAGAAAUGACUGCUAAUACCGCAUAAGCGCACAGGACCGCAUGGUCCGGUGUGAAAAACUCCGGUGGUAUAAGAUGGACCCGCGUUGGAUUAGCUAGUUGGCAGGGUAACGGCCUACCAAGGCGACGAUCCAUAGCCGGCCUGAGAGGGUGAACGGCCACAUUGGGACCGAGACACGGCCCAGACUCCUACGGGAGGCAGCAGUGGGGAAUAUUGCACAAUGGGGGAAACCCUGAUGCAGCGACGCCGCGUGAAGGAAGAAGUAUCUCGGUAUGUAAACUUCUAUCAGCAGGG
Molecule: ribosomal RNA, 433 nt
Filed under: uncultured bacterium
Lineage: Bacteria
Description: bacterial SSU rRNA
Rfam family: Bacterial small subunit ribosomal RNA
Source: RNAcentral